Molecule: transfer RNA, 85 nt
Filed under: Felis catus (domestic cat)
Lineage: Eukaryota; Metazoa; Chordata; Mammalia; Carnivora; Felidae
Rfam family: tRNA
About the family: Transfer RNA (tRNA) molecules are approximately 80 nucleotides in length.
Source: Rfam by way of RNAcentral
GCCUGGGUGGCUCAGUCGCUGAAGCAUCUGACUUCAGCUCAGGUCAUGAUCUCAUGGUCCGUGGGUUCGAGCCCCGUGUCAGGCU